AGGGUUUGAUCCUGGCUCAGGACGAACGCUGGCGGCAUGCCUAACACAUGCAAGUCGAACGAGAAAGUUCCUUCGGGAGCAAUUAAAGUGGCGCACGGGUGAGUAACGCGUAGACAAUCUGCCCUUCAGUCUGGGACAACUUUUCGAAAGGAGAGCUAAUACCGGAUAACAAUGCAUGACACAAGUUGUAUAUUUGAAAGCUUUAUGUGCUGAAGGAGGGGUCUGCGUCCCAUUAGCUAGUUGGUAGGGUAAAGGCUUACCAAGGCAACGAUGGGUAGCGGGUUUGAGAGGACGAUCCGCCACACUGGAACUGAGACACGGUCCAGACUCCUACGGGAGGCAGCAGUGGGGAAUAUUGCACAAUGGAGGAAACUCUGAUGCAGCAAUGUCGCGUGAGUGAAGAAGGCCCUUGGGUCGUAAAGCUCUUUUAUGGGGGAAGAUGAUGACGGUACCCCAAGAAUAAGCACCGGCUAACUAUGUGCCAGCAGCCGCGGUAAUACAUAGGGUGCGAGCGUUGUUCGGAAUUACUGGGCGUAAAGGGCGCGCAGGCGGAAUAGUAAGUCGGAGGUGAAAGCCCGGGGCUCAACCCCGGAGGGUCUUUCGAAACUACUAAUCUAGAGAGGGUCAGGGGCCGGCAGAAUUCCUGGUGUAGAGGUGAAAUUCGUAGAUAUCAGGAGGAAUACCGGUGG
This 689-nucleotide ribosomal RNA is filed under the name uncultured bacterium. Its description in RNAcentral is "bacterial SSU rRNA". It matches the Rfam family "Bacterial small subunit ribosomal RNA", at positions 8 to 715 of the family's 1533-position model. The record is from RNAcentral.